GAUGAACGCUGGCGGCGUGCCUAAUACAUGCAAGUCGAGCGAACAGAUGAGGAGCUUGCUCCUCUGACGUUAGCGGCGGACGGGUGAGUAACACGUGGAUAACCUACCUAUAAGACUGGGAUAACUUCGGGAAACCGGAGCUAAUACCGGAUAAUAUAUUGAACCGCAUGGUUCAAUAGUGAAAGACGGUUUUGCUGUCACUUAUAGAUGGAUCCGCGCCGCAUUAGCUAGUUGGUAUGGUAACGGCUUACCAAGGCAACGAUGCGUAGCCGACCUGAGAGGGUGAUCGGCCACACUGGAACUGAGACACGGUCCAGACUCCUACGGGAGGCAGCAGUAGGGAAUCUUCCGCAAAGGGCGAAAGCCUGACGGAGCAACGCCGCGUGAGUGAUGAAGGUCUUCGGAUCGUAAAACUCUGUUAUUAGGGAAGAACAAAUGUGUAAGUAACUAUGCACGUCUUGACGGUACCUAAUCAGAAAGCCACGGCUAACUACGUG
Molecule: ribosomal RNA, 497 nt
Filed under: uncultured bacterium
Lineage: Bacteria
Description: partial 16S ribosomal RNA
Rfam family: Bacterial small subunit ribosomal RNA
Source: RNAcentral